GGCCGGGCGGGGGGGCCCUCCCUCCCCAACGCGGCCUGGAGCCCCUUCGGCUCAGGUGAGGGCCGCCCCACGGGGGCUCGGAGGGGACAACAAGCGCUCGCCGGGCGCGCGGAGGGACCAAAAGGCACCAGGUUUUCCUUGCUGGUUCUGGAGCACUUCCGGAGAAGCUGUUUUGGAUUAGUUCUCCAUUGUAAAAUGCAGGGUGUCCUAAAGAUGGAUAUAGAGGACUGCAAUGGACGCUCUUACAUAUCUGGUAGUGGAGAUUCCUCUUUGGAAAAGGAGUUCACCUCCACCAUUGUGGGGCCAACAGUGAGCACACCAAACAGCCAACACUCCUCCCCAAGCCGCUCCCUUAGUGGUGAGUAUUUAAUCUUGGGAUUCCAAUAAUUCACCCUGAAAAUGCAUUAUACUACGUUUUGACUGGGCUAGUGACCACAUUCAAAGGAAGACCAAUUUUCUGUUCUUGAGAUCUUCUUGCACCAGAGUACUAAAAAUGCCAAAACAAAGCACAACUGAAAUAGGUAGCAAGUUUACAUCUGGUCUUGAAUAAUAGACACUUCUUACUGUUAAGCAUGUUAGAAAAAAGCUAUCUCAUUGCCCAUGAAGGCUUUUAGAAGAGAUGAUCAACUUUUUUUAAACAGCAAAGUGACAUUCUUGAGAAAUUGGAGUACCAUACAAACCAUGCCACACUUUGCAAACUCCUAAUCUAAACCAAUAACUAUCUUUUCCAUUUGAUAAGACCAAGAUGUAAAAAUCAUGAAGUUCUCUGGAAAUUUUCAUAGGAUCAGAAUAUAGUGGAGCUAAGGGCUCUCAGGGUUGAAAUACUGGAACUUCAAAGGGAACCCCUUAGAUUUUAUUUGAAGACAUUGAAUCACUUUACAAUUCCUGUUACAUUAGAAAAGAAAAAGGCUGUUCAAGGCACUCUCUGUCAUAGUGAAUGGCAGCAGAUUGGAAUUGUUGACGGAAAGCAUUUACUGAUGUUGGCUUAUAUAAUGCAGAGAUUAGUUGGGGAAUUUAAAUACAAAGAGUACUAGGAAAAGACUAGUAUGCAUUAAUGGAUUCUAACUUGUUGCUGUCUGAAACUUCAGUCCUUGCUUGCUGUAAUUUAUAGUUAUUUUGUGUGUGAAAGAAACCAAAUUCUGUGGGAAAGUAUGAAGUUGCCAAAUUGUAGAAUGAACUUCUUGUUGUGGGUCUUCAGAUCUACUCUACCUUAUGGUGUCCUUCCCAUAGGGUUUGAUUAAGGCGGCUUGUUCACAUGAGAUUUGCCAUUGCCUUCCUCUGAAAUUGAGGGUGUAGACCUGUCUAGGGCCAUCCAGUGGGUUUCUAUAGUUGAGCGUGAUUCAGACCGAAUCAUCUGGGCUCUAAAACAAUCAAACUAGUAUACCAUGCUGGUAGAAUAACAGUUGUCUGCUUUUGGGAAUUGGAAAUAAUCCGUGUUUUUCAUUUGGUUUCUGCAUUACGUUGACUUUUUAUGAUUUUUCGCAUGAUAGAGCUGCAACAUCAUUUCUUACUCUGAAGUCUCUUGAUAUAUAUCCCAUCUGAUAGCCAGCUUGUAAAUGGUCACUUUGGAACCAAUGCAAGUAGAAGGGUGGGGUAUAAAAUAAAUAAAAACAAUUUCUUGGUUUUCAUCAUUUGGAAAAGAAUAUUCAGAAGUUCAUAUAAUGUGUUCUGCAUUUAGUUGAUUCCACAGAAAAUUAUCUGUUCUUUUGUUUGGUGUGAGAGACAAACUUGCUGAUUAAGUGAGCAUGCAGGAAAUAAAGAUGUUCCUCUUUAACAGGGAAACGCAGGCUCUUGGUGUUGCUUCUGAUCAGUCUUGAUUUCACAG
Molecule: long non-coding RNA, 1825 nt
Filed under: Anolis carolinensis (green anole)
Lineage: Eukaryota; Metazoa; Chordata; Lepidosauria; Squamata; Anolidae
Description: lncRNA (ENSACAG00000044773.1)
Source: RNAcentral